AAGUCGUAACAAGGUCUCCGUAGGUGAACCUGCGGAGGGAUCAUUACUGAGUGAGGGGCUCCGGCCCCGGACCUCCAACCCACUGUGAACCGACACUGUUGCCUCGGGGGCGACCCGGCCCUUCGGGCGUUCGGGGCCCCCGGCGGACCCAUCAACUCUGCAUCUCUGCGUCUGAGUAGAUUAUUGAAUCAAUCAAAACUUUCAACAACGGAUCUCUUGGUUCUG
RNAcentral lists this unclassified non-coding RNA (225 nucleotides) under fungal sp. Its description in RNAcentral is "partial internal transcribed spacer region". The stretch from base 1 to 46 matches the Rfam family "Eukaryotic small subunit ribosomal RNA", at positions 1786 to 1831 of the family's 1831-position model. The record is from RNAcentral. Lineage: Eukaryota; Fungi.